CUUUUACUUAUAAAAUGCUUAAUCCAUUUUUUACUAAUUACAUGUAAAGGAAGAAAAAAUUACUCACAUUUCAAAGUUUGCUUAUGCUUUGAUAAUCUUUCUUUGUAUAUAUCUCGUGGUAACCGAUGGCGAUAUUAUUUCAUGUAUAACUCACUCUUAUUGUCUAGAAAAAAACCAUAUACUUGGGUGUAACAUGCCUAAAGAAUUACCGAUGUGCCUUUCCGCAAUUUGUAUCUGCAAGAAAACCCCUUUAUAAUAUUCUAUUGACUUUGGUCCGUACUUUUUUCCCAUGCUCAGAUUUUAUCGCAUUGGGUUUUUCUGAGAAAAUUUUAAUAAGGGACAUGCUGAAAUCUCUUGGUUAACUUUUAUUUGGUUUUGAUCUAGUCCCUCAAAAUUUGUAAUUCUCAUUUUUAUUUUAUUUAUUAAUAAUAAUUUUAGAGUGCUGAAAAUUAUAUA
Medicago truncatula (barrel medic) is the source of this 456-nucleotide long non-coding RNA. RefSeq lists it as uncharacterized. The record is from RefSeq and is a predicted model, not a curated record. NCBI's taxonomy places the organism in Eukaryota, Viridiplantae, Streptophyta, Magnoliopsida, Fabales, Fabaceae. The transcript is spliced from 2 exons.